UGCAGUCUCUCCCACCUGACACGCCCAGUAGCUGGCUGUUCUCGAAUCUGUCAGCCCUAGUGCUUGGUGCCUAUGUGAUGGAUCAUCUUCCCUGAGAUAUAUCACCCCAGUUUGCUGGUUGUCAUGGCGAUGCUGCUCAUCUUCUCUUUGGACUUCCAGGUUUCAGGUAAGUGUAGCCCUCGUCCUCAUGGAAGAAACGUCUCUUUGCAAUAGAUGCAGGCCAGUCCAGAAAAUCACAACCAAUCAAAAUGCAGAGGUGUGGAGCCUGCCUUAAUGGAUACAUCUACAAGGCACUCCUGCACCUCAGGCUCAGUGCAUAUAGCAGAGGAGGGGGCAGAAGAGUGUAAGAGGAAGAGGACCAGGAGUUUCUAUAGAUGGUGUGUCCUAACAUCAGGAGCUACAUCAUGAAGUCUCACAGACAUGACUGUGUAAACAAGGACAACAACAGACAUGACAAAGUGGAUGGGGAGAAGAGGAGCCCAUGAGGCCUCAACACCACACAAAGCACUUCAGGUAACUAAGGAAUGCCGAGGGCAGGAAAACCAGUCCUCCCCAGGGAAGAGCACACCAGUUGGUUAUCCAACAGCAAAUGGUCAGCCCUGAAAACCAUUUGGACGUACAAGUAACACUAUAUAGACUAAUCAGGCUGUAUUUAUAUAUUUGGAAAUAUAUAUGUAUGCAUAUACAUACAUGUAUGUAACAAUGAGAAAAGGGACAAGGCUGUGAAUUUGAAAGACAGUAAACAAGGGUUUUGGAAAGGUCUGAAAGGAAGAAAGAGGCAUGGCAAAUGCCAGAUUAUGUUAUAAUCUCAAAGAAGUAUAGAAGGUAACACUCUUCAGGCACAGCUGGUAAUCUCAUCAUGCCUCAUGCUUUUGGAGUUUGGGAAACAUGUAUACCUUUUGCAGAAUUUUUGGGUACUGAGCCA
Cricetulus griseus (Chinese hamster) is the source of this 925-nucleotide non-coding RNA. The record is from RefSeq and is a predicted model, not a curated record. Lineage: Eukaryota; Metazoa; Chordata; Mammalia; Rodentia; Cricetidae.